RNAcentral lists this ribosomal RNA (397 nucleotides) under uncultured bacterium. RNAcentral's name for it is "partial 16S ribosomal RNA". It matches the Rfam family "Bacterial small subunit ribosomal RNA", at positions 523 to 918 of the family's 1533-position model. The record is from RNAcentral.
AUACGUAGGUGGCAAGCGUUGUCCGGAUUUAUUGGGCGUAAAGCGAGCGCAGGCGGUUCUUUAAGUCUGAUGUGAAAGCCCCCGGCUCAACCGGGGAGGGUCAUUGGAAACUGGAGAACUUGAGUGCCGAAGAGGAGAGUGGAAUUCCAUGUGUAGCGGUGAAAUGCGUAGAUAUAUGGAGGAACACCAGUGGCGAAGGCGGCUCUCUGGUCUGUAACUGACGCUGAGGCUCGAAAGCGUGGGGAGCAAACAGGAUUAGAUACCCUGGUAGUCCACGCCGUAAACGAUGAGUGCUAAGUGUUGGAGGGUUUCCGCCCUUCAGUGCUGCAGCUAACGCAUUAAGCACUCCGCCCGGGGAGUACGGCCGCAAGGCUGAAACUCAAAUGAAUUGACGGGG